Molecule: ribosomal RNA, 492 nt
Filed under: Triticum aestivum (bread wheat)
Lineage: Eukaryota; Viridiplantae; Streptophyta; Magnoliopsida; Poales; Poaceae
Description: partial small subunit ribosomal RNA
Source: RNAcentral
AUGAAAAAAAAAGAAAGCAUUGCCUUCUUUACUAUAUCUUGUAUUUAUCGACUUUUGCCUUGGGGGGUCUCUUCCUCAUUUAACAAAUGUCUGGAACUUUGGAUUAAGAAUUGGUGGAAUACCAGGCAAUCCGAAACUCUCUUAACUGAUAUUCAAGAGAAAAGGAUUCUAGAAAGAUUCAUAGAAUUAGAAGAACUUUCUCUCUUGGACGAGAUGAUAAAAGGGAAACUAAAGACACAUGUACAAAAACCUCCUACAGGAAUACACAAGGAAAUAAUACAAUGGGUCAAAAUAAAUAAUGAGGAUCAUCUCCAUACCAUUUUGCAUUUCUCGACAAAUAUAAUCUGUUUGGCUAUUCUAAGUGGUUCUUUUUUUCUGGGUAAAGAGGAACUUGUCAUUUUGAAUUCUUGGGUUCAGGAAUUCUUCUAUAAUUUAAAUGACUCAAUAAAAGCUUUUUUUAUUCUUUUAGUUACUGAUUUUUUUGUUGGAUUU